Frieseomelitta varia is the source of this 614-nucleotide long non-coding RNA. RefSeq lists it as uncharacterized. Lineage: Eukaryota; Metazoa; Arthropoda; Insecta; Hymenoptera; Apidae. The transcript is spliced from 3 exons. The record is from RefSeq and is a predicted model, not a curated record.
CAUCUAUCGGAAAGAGGUGGUACAAUAUUUCAUUAGAAUUGUUUCGGCCCUCUAUUCAACUUUUGUGAAUUUCAUCGGCACAGUCGAAUGUGAUUUGAAGAUGGCGAUACAAGAGUAGAAUUGAACGAACGGUUUGCAAGGAAAUCUCUUCUUGCAAUAAUGGCUGAAAUAUUCGACCAUCGUUAUGUCUGACUGGGAAGUUCAAUGCGGCGCACAAGCAUGUGUCACGUCGUGAUCAGACGAGAAUAUAAGUUGUACGAGUGUCUUUAUACGAACGGAAUACGAUCCUACCAAUUUAUAUUUGUAUACUUGCGAAAGAUCACAAAGCUAAUCUAAGUCAGAGACACGGGAAAUGAAAAAUACAAUUAGUUUCGUGAUAAUGAUUCGCCCAAACAAAUUUAUAAUACGUAUAUAUGUUUAAUCACUUGAGAGUUGAACAAGUAAAUAAAUUAUUUGAUUUAAUACAAAAAAAAAAGGAUUAUUCUAUAAUUAGUAAAAAUAAUAGCAAAGAGGGUAAAAUGAAAAGUAGACAUUGAUAUCAAUUGAUGAUACAUAUAUAGGGUUUAAUAAUUACUUAAUGUGUUCGUUCUAAAUGAUACGGAUGGAUUUCUUUU